CCUACGGGCGGCUGCAGUGGGGAAUAUUGCACAAUGGGCGCAAGCCUGAUGCAGCCAUGCCGCGUGUGUGAAGAAGGCCUUCGGGUUGUAAAGCACUUUCAGCGGGGAGGAAGGCGGUGAGGUUAAUAACCUCAUCGAUUGACGUUACCCGCAGAAGAAGCACCGGCUAACUCCGUGCCAGCAGCCGCGGUAAUACGGAGGGUGCAAGCGUUAAUCGGAAUUACUGGGCGUAAAGCGCACGCAGGCGGUCUGUCAAGUCGGAUGUGAAAUCCCCGGGCUCAACCUGGGAACUGCAUUCGAAACUGGCAGGCUAGAGUCUUGUAGAGGGGGGUAGAAUUCCAGGUGUAGCGGUGAAAUGCGUAGAGAUCUGGAGGAAUACCGGUGGCGAAGGCGGCCCCCUGGACAAAGACUGAUGCUCAGGUGCGAAAGCGUGGGGAGCAAACAGGAUUAGAUACCCGAGUAGUC
Molecule: ribosomal RNA, 465 nt
Filed under: uncultured Klebsiella sp.
Lineage: Bacteria; Pseudomonadati; Pseudomonadota; Gammaproteobacteria; Enterobacterales; Enterobacteriaceae
Description: bacterial SSU rRNA
Rfam family: Bacterial small subunit ribosomal RNA
Source: RNAcentral